GCGAGAAAACUUUGCAAUGAGCGAAAGCUCGACAAGGUUAAUCCGAGUGGUUUCUGCUAAAGAAAUCUUUUGUUAGUUGUAAAACUACUAACGAAUAAGGGGUGGGCAAGUUCUGGUGUCAGCCGCCGCGGUAAAACCAGCACCUCAAGUGGUCAGGAUGAUUAUUGGGCCUAAAGCAUCCGUAGCCUGUUUUGUAAGUCUCCGGUUAAAUCCAUCAACUCAAGUGAUGGGCUGCCGGAGAUACUGCAAAACUAGGGAAUGGGAGAGGUAGACGGUACUCGGUAGGAAGGGGUAAAAUCCUUUGAUCUAUUGAUGACCACCUGUGGCGAAGGCGGUCUACCAGAACAUGUUCGACGGUGAGGGAUGAAAGCUGGGGGAGCAAACCGG
Molecule: ribosomal RNA, 387 nt
Filed under: uncultured bacterium
Lineage: Bacteria
Description: bacterial SSU rRNA
Rfam family: Archaeal small subunit ribosomal RNA
Source: RNAcentral